Molecule: ribosomal RNA, 253 nt
Filed under: uncultured bacterium
Lineage: Bacteria
Description: partial 16S ribosomal RNA
Rfam family: Bacterial small subunit ribosomal RNA
Source: RNAcentral
UACAGAGGAUGCAAGCGUUAUCCGGAAUGAUUGGGCGUAAAGGGCGCGUAGGCGGUGCGGUAAGUCACCUGUGAAAUCUCCUGGCUCAACUGGGAGCUUGCAGGCGAAACUGCCGUGCUGGAGUGUGGGAGAGGUGCGUGGAAUUCCUGGUGUAGCGGUGAAAUGCGUAGAUAUCAGGAGGAACACCUGUGGCGAAAGCGGCGCACUGGACCACAACUGACGCUGAGGCGCGAAAGCUAGGGGAGCAAACAGG